RNAcentral lists this ribosomal RNA (274 nucleotides) under uncultured bacterium. RNAcentral's name for it is "partial 16S ribosomal RNA". It matches the Rfam family "Bacterial small subunit ribosomal RNA", at positions 523 to 796 of the family's 1533-position model. The record is from RNAcentral.
AUACGGAGGGUGCAAGCGUUACUCGGAAUCACUGGGCGUAAAGCGCGCGCAGGCGGCUUGAUAAGUUGGAUGUGAAAUCCUACGGCUCAACCGUAGAACUGCAUCCAAAACUGUCAAGCUAGAGUCUGGGAGGGGAAGAUGGAAUUAGUUGUGUAGGGGUAAAAUCCGUAGAGAUAACUAGGAAUACCAAAAGCGAAGGCGAUCUUCGGGAACAGUACUGACGCUGAGGCGCGAAAGCGUGGGGAGCAAACAGGAUUAGAAACCCGUGUAGUCC